This 59-nucleotide transfer RNA is filed under the name Fukomys damarensis (Damara mole-rat). It matches the Rfam family "tRNA", at positions 7 to 64 of the family's 71-position model. Rfam says of the family: Transfer RNA (tRNA) molecules are approximately 80 nucleotides in length. Their secondary structure includes four short double-helical elements and three loops (D, anti-codon, and T loops). Further hydrogen bonds mediate the characteristic L-shaped molecular structure. tRNAs have two regions of fundamental functional importance: the anti-codon, which is responsible for specific mRNA codon recognition, and the 3' end, to which the tRNAs corresponding amino acid is attached (by aminoacyl-tRNA synthetases). tRNAs cope with the degeneracy of the genetic code in two manners: having more than one tRNA (with a specific anti-codon) for a particular amino acid; and 'wobble' base-pairing, i.e. permitting non-standard base-pairing at the 3rd anti-codon position. The record is from Rfam by way of RNAcentral. Lineage: Eukaryota; Metazoa; Chordata; Mammalia; Rodentia; Bathyergidae.
GUAGCUCAGUGGUAGAGUACUUGCCUAGCAGGCAAGAGAUCCUGGGUUGGAUCCCCACC